Molecule: ribosomal RNA, 497 nt
Filed under: uncultured bacterium
Lineage: Bacteria
Description: partial 16S ribosomal RNA
Rfam family: Bacterial small subunit ribosomal RNA
Source: RNAcentral
GACGAACGCUGGCGGCGUGCCUAAUACAUGCAAGUAGAACGCUGAAGCGAGGAGCUUGCUCUUCUUGGAUGAGUUGCGAACGGGUGAGUAACGCGUAGGUAACCUGCCUUGUAGCGGGGGAUAACUAUUGGAAACGAUAGCUAAUACCGCAUAACAAUGGAUGACACAUGUCAUUUAUUUGAAAGGGGCAAUUGCUCCACUACAAGAUGGACCUGCGUUGUAUUAGCUAGUAGGUGAGGUAAUGGCUCACCUAGGCGACGAUACAUAGCCGACCUGAGAGGGUGAUCGGCCACACUGGGACUGAGACACGGCCCAGACUCCUACGGGAGGCAGCAGUAGGGAAUCUUCGGCAAUGGGGGCAACCCUGACCGAGCAACGCCGCGUGAGUGAAGAAGGUUUUCGGAUCGUAAAGCUCGGUUGUAAGUCAAGAACGGGUGUGAGAGUGGAAAGUUCACACUGUGACGGUAGCUGACCAGAAAGGGACGGCUAACUACGUG